Molecule: ribosomal RNA, 253 nt
Filed under: uncultured bacterium
Lineage: Bacteria
Description: partial 16S ribosomal RNA
Rfam family: Bacterial small subunit ribosomal RNA
Source: RNAcentral
UACGAAGGGGGCUAGCGUUGCUCGGAAUUACUGGGCGUAAAGCGCACGUAGGCGGUCUUUUAAGUCGGGGGUGAAAUCCUGGAGCUCAACUCCAGAACUGCCUUCGAUACUGGAAGACUUGAGUCCGGGAGAGGUGAGUGGAACUGCGAGUGUAGAGGUGAAAUUCGUAGAUAUUCGCAAGAACACCAGUGGCGAAGGCGGCUCACUGGCCCGGUACUGACGCUGAGGUGCGAAAGCGUGGGGAGCAAAACGG